UUUGAUUACCUAUCAUCAUAACUCCAGAAUCAUGAACCCUUUUCAACUUUUUUCUCGAGCGUUCCCGCGGUAAAAUUGAAAAAAAAACAUGAGUGACGCUAGGUCAGUGCGACCGACCAAUCACGACCAAGAAUAUUCUAGAAAUUCGAGAAGCAAUCAGUGAUGCAAUCAGAUAAGGUAAACAUGACACUCACGGCCGUUACAUCCGUCUGUUGUGAUAACAAUUUACAGUGCCUCUCAUUUCUCGAACAGUGAUUAAUUAUCAAAUGAUUCUACAUUAUUUUUCAAAGCUAAAUGUUAAAUUUUGCAAUUUUGAGUUACAAUUUUCAGCAACAAGCAGAAAAUACACUUUAAUAUAAUCAUUUCAUUUUAUGCCGCUCUGGAUGCUGUUGGCAGACAUGUGACUUUCUAUGUUGAUUUUGGUGUUUUGGCAAUCACGCAUGGUUCAGAAUUAGCGACUUUUGUAUAUGUGCUGUUCCUUUUUACCUCUAAAAGUUUCGUUAUUUCAUACCUGUGUUUGCUGUUCAGUGACCUUACAAACUGUGAUUGACUCUUACGAUUGAUAUUUUAGAGCUUUCACCGCAUUUAUUAGUUUACCUCUUACCUCACGAAUUUAGGCCCUUCACCAAGCCAUGAACUUGGGUAUGAGCGGCUUCGUGCGGCAGCCUUUAGCGGAGUCACCUCAAGCGAGCAUUUUUGCAAAUCCACUAGCCACCGGAAUGGAUCGGUUUCCGUAUCCUAAUUCAAUGCCAAACAUGAGCGCACCAUCAAUGCCAUGGGCCCAGAUACCACCUAUCAAUGUUCCUUGGGGAAUCCCCCCCAACAAUCUUCCAGAUGUCAUCAGAUUUAAUGCAACCCCAAACAUUAACACUUUUCAACCGAUUCCGAGACCGAUCGAAAAUGGUGGAUUUCCAAGAGUACGAUUCACCAAACGAAAGACAAACUUGGAGCCAGAAAUACCAGCAAAAAUUCAUGUCACAGAUGAAAAAAUGGCAGCUCAUAUGAGUGAGAUGCACAUUAGCAGUAAUUACACAUCACAUGAAACACCAGUCCAGCCAAAUUUUAGUUAUAGUAAUUUUGAAAGAAAACAAUUCGAUGAUAAACUCACCAGUCUAAUUAGUGCAGAUGACAAAGAAGACUUAAAAAUACCAUCAAUAAAGCUGUGUGAAGAAUUGAGAAAGCUCAGCAAAACACCAAUCCUACCUGAGCCACUCCUUCAAGUAGAGAAGCCAUGUCGGGCGCUUGUUUUGUGGAAACCACCGCCUGGAGUAGUUGAAUCAAACAUAGCAACAAUAGCUAGCUCGUAUACCACCAAUAAUAACUGUAGUGUUGUAACAUAUCAGACAUCCCCCACUUCAACUGUGACCAUCACAGAAUUAACUGAUGAAGACAAACCAGCCGAGUCUAUAGAGUGUGAUCCUAUUCCGUCAACGUCAACAGGGUUUAUGGAUUCAGCACCUAUCUCAUCAAUCCCUGAGCCUAUAGACUACGAAAUGGAAUCGUAA
Molecule: long non-coding RNA, 1505 nt
Filed under: Bemisia tabaci
Lineage: Eukaryota; Metazoa; Arthropoda; Insecta; Hemiptera; Aleyrodidae
Description: lncRNA ENSSSA1UGG005477
Source: RNAcentral